GACGAACGCUGGCGGCGUGCUUAACACAUGCAAGUCGAGCGGUAAGGCCCUUUCGGGGGUACACGAGCGGCGAACGGGUGAGUAACACGUGGGUGACCUGCCCUCAGCUCUGGGAUAAGCCUGGGAAACCGGGUCUAAUACCGGAUAUGACUCCAUGACGCAUGUUGUGGGGUGGAAAGCCUUGUGCGGCUGAGGAUGGGCCCGCGGCCUAUCAGCUUGUUGGUGGGGUGAUGGCCUACCAAGGCGACGACGGGUAGCCGGCCUGAGAGGGCGACCGGCCACACUGGGGACUGAGACACGGCCCAGACUCCUACGGGAGGCAGCAGUGGGGAAUCUUGCGCAAUGGGCGAAAGCCUGACGCAGCGACGCCGCGUGGGGAUGAAGCUUC
Molecule: ribosomal RNA, 388 nt
Filed under: uncultured bacterium
Lineage: Bacteria
Description: bacterial SSU rRNA
Rfam family: Bacterial small subunit ribosomal RNA
Source: RNAcentral